GGGGCUGGGGCUCAGUGGUAGAGCACUUGCCUACCAUGCGUGAGGCACUGAGUUCAAUCCUCAGCACCA
RNAcentral lists this transfer RNA (69 nucleotides) under Marmota marmota marmota (Alpine marmot). It matches the Rfam family "tRNA". Rfam says of the family: Transfer RNA (tRNA) molecules are approximately 80 nucleotides in length. Their secondary structure includes four short double-helical elements and three loops (D, anti-codon, and T loops). The record is from Rfam by way of RNAcentral. Lineage: Eukaryota; Metazoa; Chordata; Mammalia; Rodentia; Sciuridae. RNAcentral also lists the same sequence under 3 other names.